UCCGGCUUGUCGCCGGCGGUCCCUUUAGAGUGCCCAACUGAAUGAUGGCAACUAAAGGCGAGGGUUGCGCUCGUUUUGGCACUUAAGCCAACACCUCACGGCACGAGCUGACGACAGCCAUGCAGCACCUGUGUUCCCGCCAGCCGAACUGAAGGAUCCCAUCUCUGGAACCCAUACGGGACAUGUCAAAGGUUGGUAAGGUUCUUCGCGUUGCUUCGAAUUGAACCACAUGCUCCACCGCUUGUGCGGGCCCCCGUCAAUUCCUUUGAGUUUCAGCCUUGCGGCCGUACUCCCCAGGCGGGGCACUUAAUGCGUUAGCGUCGGCACUCAGAGGGUCGCUCCCCCAAGCACCUAGUGCCCAUCGUUUACGGCGUGGACUAC
This 381-nucleotide unclassified non-coding RNA is filed under the name uncultured bacterium. Its description in RNAcentral is "contains 16S-23S intergenic spacer region". The record is from RNAcentral.